AUACUUACCUGGCAGGGGAGAUACCAUGAUCACGAAGGUGGUUUUCCCAGGGCGAGGCUUAUCCAUUGCACUCCGGAUGUGCUGACCCCUGCGAUUUCCCCAAAUGUGGGAAACUCGACUGAAAAAAA
Molecule: small nuclear RNA, 128 nt
Gene: U1
Rfam family: U1 spliceosomal RNA
About the family: U1 is a small nuclear RNA (snRNA) component of the spliceosome (involved in pre-mRNA splicing). Its 5' end forms complementary base pairs with the 5' splice junction, thus defining the 5' donor site of an intron.
Source: Ensembl